Molecule: non-coding RNA, 212 nt
Organism: Caenorhabditis elegans
Lineage: Eukaryota; Metazoa; Nematoda; Chromadorea; Rhabditida; Rhabditidae
Source: Ensembl
CCUUUUAUCUUCUCCGACCUCGCGCCGGGCGUCCGUCUUCAGGCCACCCAUUAGAAAAAUUGGGGCGGCCCAAUAAAAAACGGCUGUUGUUAUUCGCUUUUUCCAAUCGUAGUUCUUCGCAAUUUUCCGUGUCUGCGUCUCUUCGUCUCGCACACUAUUUCGUCGACUCCCUUGACGGAUAUUCAGAGUGUUGCAUUGCAAAAAAGUGCUGC